Molecule: non-coding RNA, 814 nt
Filed under: Enterobacter kobei
Lineage: Bacteria; Pseudomonadati; Pseudomonadota; Gammaproteobacteria; Enterobacterales; Enterobacteriaceae
Description: antisense RNA of rseC mRNA
Rfam family: antisense RNA of rseC mRNA
Source: RNAcentral
CCUGGGCUGCCAUUUCGCGAUCGGACAGGCCGCCGCAAAGCUGGAUAAUACGGUCAGACAGCGUCGACUUACCGUGGUCAAUGUGAGCGAUGAUCGAAAAGUUGCGUAUGUUCUUCAUAUAUGGAGAUUUUAUGCCUUACGGAAACUAAGAGGCCGCUGUACUGAGCCCACGUCUGUUGUCUGAAACGCCGCAUUCUACACUACAACCCCAACGCGGGGAAAUGCUCAUCCCGCGUACGGCGUGGUAGGCCACGGCGCUGUCUGUUGUACUGUAAAGAUUAAGGCAAAAAGGCGUGAAAUUAUUGACUGGCGUUCGUGUGUGGCGUUUCCACGCGCAGCAUGUCCGGCGGUAAACCCACGCUCAGGAUCACAGGCUGCCACGCGUCCUUUGCGGCCAGUUUCGGGGAAAAAGCGCGCGCCAGCAAAAAGCCGCCCACGCCGCCCACUACCGCGCCGCCCAGCGCCGCGAGAUCGUAACCAAACAGGGUCUGAAACAGGCCGGCUACCGCAAACAUUCCCACCAGCGGCGUCAGAUACACUAACAUUGCGGAGCCAAGCAGGCUGCCUUCGGCAAUGCCCAGCUCGACUUUUUGACCGGCUACCAGGGGCUGGUUGCACGGCACCACCAGCGUAUGCGUGGUUUGUGGCCCCAGCUUGUUGAGCACGCGGGUGCCGCAACCGGAACGCGAGGCGCAGCUGCUGCACGAUGCUUUUACAUCACAGCUUACCAGGGCUUCACCCUGUUCCCAUGAGACGACGGUUGCCCACUCUUUGAUCAUUGUGCUGCCCUGAAUUUAAGACUGUCCGCAAUACG